GACGAACGCUGGCGGCGUGCCUAAUACAUGCAAGUUGAGCGAUGAAGAUUGGUGCUUGCACCAAUUUGAAGAGCAGCGAACGGGUGAGUAACGCGUGGGGAAUCUGCCUUUGAGCGGGGGACAACAUUUGGAAACGAAUGCUAAUACCGCAUAACAACUUUAAACAUAAGUUUUAAGUUUGAAAGAUGCAAUUGCAUCACUCAAAGAUGAUCCCGCGUUGUAUUAGCUAGUUGGUGAGGUAAAGGCCCACCAAGGCGAUGAUACAUAGCCGACCUGAGAGGGUGAUCGGCCACAUUGGGACUGAGACACGGCCCAAACUCCUACGGGAGGCAGCAGUAGGGAAUCUUCGGCAAUGGACGAAAGCCUGGCCGAGCAACGCCGCGUGAGUGAAGAAGGUUUUCGGAUCGUAAAACUCUGUUGGUAGAGAAGAACGUUGGUGAGAGUGGAAAGCUCAUCAAGUGACGGUAACUACCCAGAAAGGGACGGCUAACUACGUG
RNAcentral lists this ribosomal RNA (497 nucleotides) under uncultured bacterium. Its description in RNAcentral is "partial 16S ribosomal RNA". It matches the Rfam family "Bacterial small subunit ribosomal RNA", at positions 28 to 507 of the family's 1533-position model. The record is from RNAcentral.